Sapajus apella (tufted capuchin) is the source of this 1403-nucleotide long non-coding RNA. RefSeq lists it as uncharacterized. The record is from RefSeq and is a predicted model, not a curated record. NCBI's taxonomy places the organism in Eukaryota, Metazoa, Chordata, Mammalia, Primates, Cebidae. The transcript has 2 exons.
UAUAUAUCAGAAACCCUAACUGAAGUGGUCCUAUAAGGCUCUGUGGUAAUUCUAUAUUCUUCAAAAAACCUAUAAUAAAAUAUAUACAUAGAUAAGUAAUAAAUAGAUUUUUUUUCUUCUGUUAUCCCUGUUUUUCAGGAAGAAGCAAAAUGCAACCUAAUGAAUUGGAGACAAUUGGUGGCGGUUUAUAAUAAUUUAGUCCAAAGCCACCGCCAACACCAAAGUGGACAGCUUUGGUUCCAGUGGGUUGCUCCACCAUUGCUACUGACAUAAAUCACAUCACACCAGCUGCUAAAGGGCUUGAGAACCUGAUCACACACCCAGCCCACUGCUACCACUACCAGCAUCUGAGAAAGCCACCUGGAGCCCAAGAAUCAGCCUGCUUACACCCAAUAACACUUGUGCCAGUGUAAACCACACUGGGGCCCAAGGACAAACAUGCUCAGUCCACCAUUGCCACUACUGAGGCCUGAAAACUGACCCACCUGGAAUCUUGGCCUCCAGAACAACUUUAUCACAAACUCUACUGCAACCACACCUAAUGCCACUGAGGAAAUCACAAAUACUGCUGAUGUUAUUCACUGAUAAAUAAAUCAUUCAGAAUUAUUUGGCACCCACAAUCAAAGCCAAAUUGCCCUCCAUGAUCAAGACCAUAGACGCCCUUCAGGAAAACAUUCUGCCCUACAAAAGCAAAUUUUAAAAAAUCAGAAGGAGUGAUUAUUAUACCACAUGGACAGCUAUAAAUAUUAGGACAAAAGGAACAUACCUCAAAAUAAUAAAGCCCAGAUAGGGCAAAUCUACAGCUAACAUCAUAUUGAAUGUAAAAGCUCUCAGAACUGGAACAAGAAAAGGAUGUCUAGUUUUACUAUGCCUGUUCAACAUAAUAUUGGAAGUCCUAGCCAGAGCAGUCAGUCAAGAAUAAAUAGACAUUCAAAUUGGGAAAAAGUAAGUCAAAUUGUCCCUCUUUGCAGAUGAUAUUGUUUUAUAUCUAGAAAAAUCUAAAGACUUCACCAAAAAACUAUUAGAUCUGAUAUAUUCAGAAAAUUGCAGGAUGUAGAAUCAACAUACAAAAAUUAUUAGGGUUUCUACAUAUGAAUAAUAAACUAGCUGAGAAAGAAAUCAAUAAGGCAAUCCCAUCUAUAAUAACUAAAAACAUUUCUAAGAAUGAACUUACCCAAGGAGGUGAAAGUCCUCUGCAAGAAAAACGACAAAACGUUGAUGAAAGAAAUUGAAGAGGACACAAACAAAUGGAAGGAUAUGCCUGUUCAUGGAUUAGAAGAAUUAAUAUCAUUAAACUAACCACGUUCCUCCAAACAAUACAGAUUCAAAGCAAGCUUUAUCAAAAUACUAAUGUCAUUUUUCACAGACAUAGAAAAAAAAUCCUUAAAUUCACACAGAACUAA